Molecule: ribosomal RNA, 1164 nt
Filed under: uncultured bacterium
Lineage: Bacteria
Description: bacterial SSU rRNA
Rfam family: Bacterial small subunit ribosomal RNA
Source: RNAcentral
AUAUGCUACCGAUUAUGGAUGGGCCCGCGUCCCAUUAGUUAGUUGGCGGGGUAACGGCCCACCAAGACGAUGAUGCGUAGCCGACCUGAGAGGGUGACCGGCCACACUGGGACUGAGACACGGCCCAGACUCCUACGGGAGGCAGCAGUAGGGAAUUUUCGGCAAUGGGCGCAAGCCUGACCGAGCAACGCCGCGUGAGUGAAGAAGGCCUUCGGGUUGUAAAGCUCUGUUGUAAGGGAAGAAUGGCCAAGAGAGGGAAUGCUCUUGGAGUGACGGUACCUUACCAGAAAGCCACGGCUAACUACGUGCCAGCAGCCGCGGUAAUACGUAGGUGGCAAGCGUUAUCCGGAAUUAUUGGGCGUAAAGGGAGCGUAGGCGGUUUGAUAAGUCUGAGGUGAAAGUUCGGGGCUCAACUCCGGAUUGCCUUAGAAACUGUCAGACUAGAGUGCAGGAGAGGGCAAUGGAAUUCCAUGUGUAGCGGUAAAAUGCGUAGAUAUAUGGAGGAACACCAGUGGCGAAGGCGGUUGCCUGGCCUGUAACUGACGCUGAGGCACGAAAGCGUGGGGAGCAAAUAGGAUUAGAUACCCUAGUAGUCCACGCUGUAAACGAUGAAUACUAAGUGUUGGAGAAAUUCAGUGCUGCAGUUAACGCAAUAAGUAUUCCGCCUGGGGAGUAUGCACGCAAGUGUGAAACUCAAAGGAAUUGACGGGACCCCGCACAAGCGGUGGAUUAUGUUGUUUAAUUCGACGCAACGCGAAGAACCUUACCAGGCCUUGACAUACUCGGCAAAGCUCUAGAGAUAGAGUGGAGGUUAUCCGGGAUACAGGUGGUGCAUGGUUGUCGUCAGCUCGUGUCGUGAGAUGUUGGGUUAAGUCCCGCAACGAGCGCAACCCUUGUCUUUAGUUGCCAGCACAUAAUUGGGCACUCUAGAGGGACUGCCGGUGACAAACCGGAGGAAGGUGGGGAUGACGUCAAAUCAUCAUGCCCCUUAUGAUCUGGGCUACACACGUGCUACAAUGGCCGGUACAACGAGAAGCGAAACCGCGAGGUGAAGCAAAUCUUUUAAAGCCGGUCCCAGUUCGGAUUGCAGGCUGAAACUCGCCUGCAUGAAGUUGGAGUUGCUAGUAAUCGCGGAUCAGCAUGCCGUGGUGAAUGCGUUCCCGG